UACGUAGGGUGCAAGCGUUGUCCGGAAUUAUUGGGCGUAAAGAGCUCGUAGGCGGUCUGUCGCGUCGGCUGUGAAAACCCGGAGCUCAACUCCGGGCCUGCAGUCGAUACGGGCAGACUGGAGUUCGGCAAGGGAGACUGGAAUUCCUGGUGUAGCGGUGAAAUGCGCAGAUAUCAGGAGGAACACCGGUGGCGAAGGCGGGUCUCUGGGCCGAUACUGACGCUGAGGAGCGAAAGCGUGGGGAGCGAACAGG
Molecule: ribosomal RNA, 253 nt
Filed under: uncultured bacterium
Lineage: Bacteria
Description: partial 16S ribosomal RNA
Rfam family: Bacterial small subunit ribosomal RNA
Source: RNAcentral